CAGCCGCCGCGGGAAUACGAAGGGUGCAAGCGUUACUCGGAAUUACUGGGCGUAAAGCGUGCGUAGGUGGUGGUUUAAGUCCGUUGUGAAAGCCCUGGGCUCAACCUGGGAAUUGCAGUGGAUACUGGGUCACUAGAGUGUGGUAGAGGAUAGUGGAAUUUCCGGUGUAGCAGUGAAAUGCGUAGAGAUCGGAAGGAACAUCUGUGGCGAAGGCGACUAUCUGGGCCAACACUGACACUGAGGCACGAAAGCGUGGGGAGCAAACAGGAUUAGAGACCCGUGUAGUCCCUGUCUCUUAUAA
Molecule: ribosomal RNA, 301 nt
Filed under: uncultured bacterium
Lineage: Bacteria
Description: partial 16S ribosomal RNA
Rfam family: Bacterial small subunit ribosomal RNA
Source: RNAcentral